UGCAAGAUGGAGCCGAGCCCAACGAGGGGACGGGUCCCACUACAAACCCGCCGAGAGGAGGCGGCAAGAUCCCCUUAUCCACAGGGCGGCUCAGGCGCAUUAGCCCCCUUGCUGGUCCGGGCAGCCGGAGCUCCGAGGGACUGAGAGACCCGGCGCCCGCUUCCGCUCCAGCCCCCAGGUGACUGACAUUUGCAAAACAGAAGGACGAUUGCUUCGGAGGCGAAGUCAUUGGCUGAGACAUCCAAUCAGGCGGCCGGGGUGUGUGGAAGGGUGUCGCCUGUCCAAUCGCGGGGCCUGUGUGGGUGUUGCUAGGAGAUAGCGUGAUGUGAUGACUGUAUUAAGGGGACGGCUCUGUUUAGGAAAUAGAGCCGCUUGUGAUGCAAGAAGCGUCUGUGAAUUGCGAUUUAUUUCAGGCCAUUCACCUCGGCAGAGUGUGAUCGCUGGAGGUUAUUACAGGUCAAACCUCACAACACAGACGCGGGGGCAGUGAAAUAUGCUCCAGGGAUAGCGUCGUCCCCCUCGCCCCAGUAUACAGCCAGGAAAGGCUCUGAUCAGCACCCCCAAUGAGGAGAAGAGCAGAGUGAGGGAGAGACCUAAAGCCUCCACACAGCAGAGCCCAGAGCGCCUGUUACUCCUUGAAAAUUAUCCUCCUUUUCCUCACUGCAGGGACGAGGCUGGUGUGACUAGCUACUUUGGCUCUCACUGAGCCCUGUGUCAUGGCUAGGAGCUUGUUAAUUCUUGUGCCCUUUUGAUAGUCUGUUAGUAUUGAGAGCCACUGAGCUCCUGCUACCUUGGGCAAUCUGGCUCCCAUGAGCACCUGAUGGGUGCCUGCUGCAAGCAGGUGCUCUGAGCACUGUGCCAGAUUGGUCUCAUUCCCUUCCACUUGCCUCACCCUCCUGCCACCUCUCCCAAAAUCAAUAUAGGCUGUAACUCCCCCUGCCACCCACUUCCUUCCAACCUGCUCCUAACUCUUGAUCCAAACCGGGAGUCAGGGAGCACAGCAGAGGGACUGAGGGAGCCAAGGUGGUUGUUUCUGGGUCUAGGGCUCCCACUAUAACUCCUUUCCUAGCUUCAAGCUCUGAAAAUGAAGGUUUACGUGUAACCAGAAUUUUUUUAGAUGGACUCUGCAUAUUCAUGAUCAUGGGAUGCACUGCCAGUGCUGUCCAAAGGGUGUACUGUCUCCGAGCAGUGCCCCUUAAGAGUGGUCACAGGCCCCUCCUAUCUCUCUCCUUAGACUUCCUGAGCAUCCUGAACAUGAGAGUAACAGAUUACCAACCUCAAGACAUCAAAAAUCAUAUGAGAGUCCCUAAAUUCACGAUUGAAAAAAUAUUGGUGUUGGUCUUUUUGAUUUUUGGACUCCCCCUUCCCAACACCUGUAUGUGUGUGAGAGAGAGAAUUAGUGUCAGGUGAUUUUGGACCAUGCUGCAUGAGCUCACAUCCCCUUCCACCAAUUAAUUCUGCCCCCCAGCCUCCAACUCAAUCCUGUUCCCCCAGUCUCUAUAUUAGUUCUUCUGCCUGGCCCUGCCCCCUGUGCUCAAAUCGGCCCCAUGAGUCCCUCAGUAGUUCAGCAUUCCUAAUCUCACGACUGAUACUCCUAGGGCUUCACCAAGCCACGCAGAGGCUGUACCAAGAUUCCCUUCUGGUUUCCCUUUCUCCUGCUUUCCAGGGGCUCUUUACUCCCCCUUCCCAGUCCUGGUGUUGCAUGGAGGAAGAGGGAGCAGAGCCAUCCUGAGCUGCUGGGUUCUUUCUGCUCCCUCUUCCCCCUCCCCUCCUGUGACAAGAAUGGCUUCAGAUUGUUGAGGGGAUGUGGAAGGGGAGAGAGCUCUUUCUGCAGCAGCUCUGAGUGGUUGCUUUGCCCCUGGGGAGAGGCGAGUGAGACAGGCAGCCAAUCAGAGUGGGUUGUCCCCUCAGGCAGGGCUCAAAUUUGCUGGAGGGCUGGAGCUUGUCAUUAUGAGACAGAGUUCCAACCUGGCCAAAAUCUCAUCAUUUGCUAAAAAAAAAAAAAAAUCCACAAGAGUUGGCACUAUUGAAAGUACAAAAAGAGGCUUAGCACCAUCCGCUGCCUCAGUUCCUUCCAUCACCUCAAAUCAGGAUUUCAGGAAGACUCCUAGGAAAAGGAAAAAGUGCACAAGGAAAUUUGAGUAUACAGAGUCCACCUUAAAGAAUUCCAGUUACAAGUAAGGAAUCUUUAUUUAAUCUGUAAGUGCCUUCUGGAUAUUCCCACUCAUGGGACAAAUUGGCAAACAGUGCUCCAGCAACGGAAUAAAGAUUACAAUACUGCCCUAUCAAUUGUGUGUCAGCUCUGGACACAAGGUCCCACAUGACAGUCUCAUAAGUAAGCUGAAGAAAUGCGGUCUUGGUGGAACUACCAUUAAGGGGAUACAUAAUUGGUUAAACAACCACAAACAAAGUGUAACUAUUAAUGGCAUUAUGUCAGAGUGGAGGGAGUCUCAAGUGGGGUUCCACAGGGAUCUGUUCUGGGUCCAGUAUUGUUUAACAUCUUUAUUAAUGACCUGGAUGUAGGAAUAGAGCGCAUACUGAUCAAAUUUGACAGUGACCCAAAGCUAGGGGGCUGCCAAAACUUUGUGGAGGAUAGAGUUAAAAUUCAGAGUGAUCUUGAUAAACUGGAGAACUGGGCUAUAGCCAACAAAAUGAAAUUCAGCAAAGUCAAAUGUAAGGUGUUACACUUAGGGAAGAAAAAACAAAUGCACAAAUAUAGAAUGGGGGAUAACUGGCUUGGCAGCAGCACCGCUGAGAAGGAUCUGGGAGUUGUCGUGGAUCACCACCUCAACGUGAGUCAGCAAUGCGAUGUUG
Trachemys scripta elegans is the source of this 2814-nucleotide long non-coding RNA. RefSeq lists it as uncharacterized. Lineage: Eukaryota; Metazoa; Chordata; Testudines; Emydidae. The transcript has 2 exons. The record is from RefSeq and is a predicted model, not a curated record.